GACGAACGCUGGCGGCGUGCUUAGCACAUGCAAGUCGAACGGAAAGGCCCUGCUUUUGUGGGGUGCUCGAGUGGCGAACGGGUGAGUAACACGUGAGUAACCUGCCCUUGACUUUGGGAUAACUUCAGGAAACUGGGGCUAAUACCGGAUAGGAGCUCCUGCUGCAUGGUGGGGGUUGGAAAGUUUCGGCGGUUGGGGAUGGACUCGCGGCUUAUCGGCUUGUUGGUGGGGUAGUGGCUUACUAAGGCUUUGACGGGUAGCCGGCCUGAGAGGGUGACCGGCCACAUUGGGACUGACAUACGGCCCAGACUCCUACGGGAGGCAGCAUUGGGGAAUAUUGCACAAUGAGCGGAAGCCUGAUGCAGCAACGCCGCGUGCGGGAUGACGGCCUUCGAGUUGUAAACCGCUUUCGCCUGUGACUAACCGUGAGUGACGGUAAUGCGUAAAGAAGCACCGGCUAUCUACGUGCCUACAUCCGCGCUGAUACGUAAGGAGCGAUGCGUUGUCCCGAUGUAUUGAACGUAAGGCCUCGUAGGUGGUUGAUCGCGUCAAUAGUGCAAUCGUGAAGCUUAACCCUGAGCCUGCUUUCGAUACGGGUUGUCUUGAGCAUUGUUGGUGAGAAUGGAAUUCCUGUUCCAACUGUGGAGUGGACAUAUUUCAAGUAUAACAGCAAUGGCGGUAGGCGGAUCUCAAUGUCUUUACUCGACCUGGAGCAGAAAAACCAAGGGCGGGGAACAGAAUUUAGAUUCCUGGCCCUUGCCAGCUCGAAACCGAAGGGAUUAAGGUUGGGGGUCUCAUCCCCAGGCUCCCGGCCCAAAUUAACCCUUUUAGCUUCCCCCCCCGGGGAAUACCCCCCCCCAGGGUAAAACUCAAGGAAUUGACGGGGCCCCGCACAAGCGGCGGAGCAUGCGGAUUAAUUCGAUGCAACGCGUAGAACCUUACCUGGGUUUGACAUGUAUCGGGAGUGCUCAGAGAUGGGUGUGCCUCUUUUGGGGUCGGUUCACAGGUGGUGCAUGGCUGUCGUCAGCUCGUGUCGUGAGAUGUUGGGUUAAGUCCCGCAACGAGCGCAACCCUUGUUCACUGUUGCCAGCACGUUAUGGUGGGGACUCAGUGGAGACCGCCGGGGUCAACUCGGAGGAAGGUGGGGAUGACGUCAAGUCAUCAUGCCCCUUAUGUCCAGGGCUUCACGCAUGCUACAAUGGCUGGUACAGAGAGUGGCGAGCCUGUAAGGGUGAGCGAAUCUCGGAAAGCCGGUCUCAGUUCGGAUUGGGGUCUGCAACUUGACCUCAUGAAGUCGGAGUCGCUAGUAAUCGCAGAUCAGCAACGCUGCGGUGAAUACGUUCCCGGGGCU
RNAcentral lists this ribosomal RNA (1351 nucleotides) under uncultured bacterium. RNAcentral's name for it is "bacterial SSU rRNA". It matches the Rfam family "Bacterial small subunit ribosomal RNA", at positions 28 to 1381 of the family's 1533-position model. The record is from RNAcentral.